This 6508-nucleotide long non-coding RNA is filed under the name Sus scrofa (pig). RNAcentral describes it as "lncRNA (ENSSSCG00005037040.1)". The record is from RNAcentral. Lineage: Eukaryota; Metazoa; Chordata; Mammalia; Artiodactyla; Suidae.
UAGCACAACUCCAAGAUCCUGGGACACUCAGUCCUCUCUACCUCUCAAGCAGGCAGCUCAGCUUCUAUACAUGGGGGCUGGUUUCCAAGAGGUUGAAAAUGGAAGAUCUCAAGACCCCUGAGACCUGAGCAUUGAAGUCACACAUAACUUUCCUGCAUUCUCUUGGUCAGACAAGUCCCAAGACUAGCCCAGCUCCAAGAAGUGUGGAAAUAGGCUCCACCUCCUGAUGAAGGGAGUUUUCAUUAAUUUCCGGCCAAGUUUAAUCUGUCACCCAGGGUACUUAUAGUGCCUAUGGUUUACAUAAUCAAAAAUAUAAAUGCAAUUCUCUAACAAUGACAAAAUUUUCUAGUGGUACAUAUUUAUUCACACAGCUACUUAUGUGUUAAUGUGUUUAUGCAGAUAAGGAUGUUGACCAAAAAAUUAGGUAGGAAAGGAGGGCAGGUAUAUUUAUUAUUUUCCAAUUUGAGAGAUAAAACUACAAAAAAAAACAAAGCUUUUAGAGAGGGCACCAUGCUAGGGAAACUGGGGCCCCCACCUUGGCCCCAGAGGGCUGGGCCCCAAGCAGCCAACCUCCCACAUAUGGCUACACACACACACACACACACACACAAUGUUCUUAGACAAUAAAUUUGGUUUCUUUUUUCACAAAAUUUGUGUUUCUAAAUAAGUUAGAGUUAUUAUUCUAUUUAAUCAGAUUGCCUUGGGAAAUCUUUGUUACAAUAGUUCUCAACCUGGUUGCAUUAUUGAAUCUCCCAGAGAAUCCUCAACCCCUGAAGAUUCUGAUGCAAUUGGUAGAGAAAGGAAAAAUCAUUUAUUCAGUAUACUUCAGCUUUUUAAGUUAUGACCCUAAUCCACAAAAGAUGUACCCUCUCUGAAUCUCAGACCUUGGAGCAUGAAAUUUUUCUGAUUUUCUGUUCAGUUCCAGGCACAGUUUGGGAAUCCAAGUAAAAAUUACACUUUCUGUGGUCAUCUGACCCCAGAAUUGUUUACUCAAGUCCUGAUAAACAAUCUUUCUGUGAUCCUUCUAAAUCCUUCAUUUAGAGGCUGCAAAAUGGUGGCCCACAAGCUAGAAAUGACCCAAGUUUUAUUUGACUUGUAUACAUACUGGUGGCCCAAACAGGACAUUUUAAAAAGGGGGUUGGGGGAGAGGAGUUAGGUGCCCACAUUUAUAAAUCAGGAGGUUUCACCUUAAGAACAGAGAGAGGCUUCUCUUGAAAAUGCUAAUGAUCUGAGAACACACAGCGAAGCUGAUAGGUUCUGGUCAGCCCCGGCCCUGUUUCUCAGUCCUCCUCGGUUUUCAUACCUGGCUGCCUUCGCUCAUUUACAAAAUCUGUCUCAACUCUGUAAGCAUUUGAGUUGGCACCCUUGGUCUAGUUCCAUAGCAGCUGCCAUUUUAUAACUGAAGAUUCUGAGGCCUAGAGUCUUAAGUGGCAUAGGUGAGGUUGGGUCCCUACGCUGUAACUGGCAGCACAUCUACAUUUAAUUUGGUUUUCAUUUCAAUCCUGAGAGGAAGGCUUUACUAGCCACCAUUCGUAAAUGAUGGAACAGAGGCUCAAAGAGGUUGAGUAAUCUGCCCAUAGGUAUACAUAGUUGGUAAGAGACAGAGCUGAUAUUCAAAUCCACAUCUUUUAAAAAAAAAUUUUAUUAAAGUAUAGUUGAUUUACAGUGUUCUGUCAAUUUCUGCUCUACAGCAAAGUGACCCUGUCAUGCAUAUGUGUACAUUCUUUUUCUCAUACUAGCUUCCAUCAUGGUCUAUCACAAGAGAUUGGAUGUAGUUCCCUGUACUGUACAGUAGGACCUCAUUGCAUAUCCAUUCCAAAUGUAGUAGUUUGCAUCUACUAACCCCAAACUCCCUGUCCAUCCCACUCCCUCCCCUGCCCUUGGCAACCACAAGUUUGUUCUCUAUGUCAGUGAGUCUGUUUCUGUUUUGUAGAUAGGUUCAUUUGUGCCAUAUUUUAGAUUCCACAUAUAAGUGGUAUCAUAUGGUAUUUGUCUUUCUCUUCCUGACUUAUCUCACUUCGUAUGAGACUCUCUAGUUGCAUUCAUGUUGCUGCAAAUGGCAUUAUUUCAUUCUUUUUAUGGCUGAGUGGUAUUCCAUUGUGUAUAUGUACCACAUCUUCUUAAUCCAUUCGUCUAUUGAUAGACAUUUAGGUUGUUGGGUCUAAAACUAGGUUCUUGGUGACCCUAGAGGCUAUUCUUUUUUUUCUUUUUUUUUUUUUUGGCUGCACCCACAGCAUGCAUAAGUUCCCAGGUCAGGGAUUGAACCCUUGCCACAACAAUGACAACAUCCAUUCUUGCCCACUGUGAUGACUGCUUUUCCUUGCCUCCAAUCCCACUUCACCUCCUCUUCCCCCCAACACCCAUUUUACCUGUGUAUUAGCACAUACCAACAUUUCCUGCAUCCUCUCUCUCACCUCUGAGCCUCUCCAGCAACUUAUAGCUCUCUGUUAGUCCCAAAGCCCAUAUUCCCAUAUCACACAGCAUAUCACAGUCAUAAAGUAACCUGUUCUGUGGCAGGAAGGGGUCCAAUUACAACCCGUAUAAUUGGCAAAAGAGUCAUUCCUCAUAGCAAUCAUGGGCUUGGUGGUCAUCAGAGCAAUUACAUUUGUUGGACAUUUUCCUGUUUGCUUCAGCCAUCCCUUCAUCAGCGUCCUUUACAGAUCCCGGUGGACUCACUGAGACAUUUCACAAGUUAUCAAAUACAUGCAUUAAGGAUUGCUAAUAGCAGCCAAGGAGCAGAAAUCAUUAUGUGAGAAUAAAAUGCAUUGUGUAAAAAGAAAUUCUGGAGUGACAGAGGGGAAAAGGGGUAAUUUUUUUCCCUCCUACCGACCAUAGCUAAGGCCCAGUGGAAUUACUAUCUUGCAUGGAAGAAACCCUCUACAUCCUAUAAAUCUGAAAAAAUAGCAUGAUGGGAAUCUGGUUGCCUUGCUACUUGAACCAAUAUUUCCACGUUGUGUGUUGAUUUUCUCUAUGUCAUUAAAGAAGCAGCCAGUGGUUUUCUAGGGAGCAAACUUUCCCCUGUCAAGUUGGGGAGACAAGCCCAAUGGCCUCAUCUCUACCGUUCACAUAAAAUAAUUUGGUUUGAAUUUGAUUGGUCUGUGUGCUUCCAACUACUGUGGGAAAGAUGGAAACAAUUUAAUAGAUGUAUAGAAUUUUAGAAUAGAAUAGAAUAGGGAAAAAUAGAAUUUUAUAAGGACAGUAUCUGGUUCAAAGAUCCCAUCCUGGUUCCCAGUGGUCAGACCUGACUCGCAGAUGUGUUUUGUAGGAACUACACAAGAUUUUGGUAAAAAGUGAGACUUGAUUACCAACAUUUAAAAAUCAAGCGAUUUCAUUUUUUAAAAAAAUGUUACUUUUUGGCUUUUCUUAAUUUUUUUUUUUAAUCUGGAAAUUCUGAGCCAGCACCCUGUGACAAGAGUUGGCUGGUAAUGCAGAGAAGCUGCCUCUUUAGACAAAGGGGAUCUGCUCCUGGAAGUUUUCAGAUCCACCAACCUCUAUUGUCUCCCCAGUUCUCAGGCCAACAGGCAGUUGUCACAUCACUCAUUUACAUUUUAGAUACACAGAAAAUUUAAGUAAUGUGCCCAAGGUCAUUAAUUCCAUUUAUCCAACAAAUCUUUAUGGAGGCACAGACUCUUCGCCAGGUACUAAUCCAGGCACUAGGCAUACAGCUGUGAAAAAAACAACUCACAGUCUGGUCCUAUAGGGUUGACAUCCAGUGGGAGACCCAAACAGUAAACAAAAUCAUGAAAAGGUAGAGAAUGACAAAUGUUGAUAAGUACCAUGAAGAAAAAUCAAGCAGGCAAAUAGAAGAGGCAGUGGUGAAGAGUCACAAUUUAAGUGGGAGGAUGAGGAAGGCCUCUCUAAAAAGGUGAGUGGCAUUUGAGCACAACAAGCUCAAAAGAUGGGAAGGAGGGAGCCAUAUUCAUUUUUAUUUUUUGUCUUUUUAGGGCUGCACCCGCAUAUGGAAGUUCCUGGGCUAGGGGUCUAAUCAGAGGUGCAACUGCUGGCCUAGACCACAGCCACAGUAACUUGGGAUCCUUAACCCACUGAGCUGGGCCAGGGAUCAAACCCACAUCCUCAUGUUCACUAGUCAGGUUCUUUACCACUGAGCCACAAUGGGAACUCCCAUAUUUUUAGAGGGGGAGCAUUCCAGGCAGGAGUAGCAGGACCUGCAACGGACAUAAGAUGUUAAAACCAGUACUAGGACUUAAACCAGGGCCAGGUUGUUCUUCCAAUGAGAGGUGAUGUCACUGGCCAUUAACCCUCAGCAGUUGUCCCAGGAUAUGCUUUUCCAGAAUACCUGCCAUCUGUGUCCUCAUGGAAACCUAAAACACCCUCAGUGAAAAUCCAGAUUUAUGCCAAAGAUAAAAUGCAAAGGGAUUAUUCACUUUACCCAGGGCCUCACAAUAGGAGCCUUUUAUUCAGGAAACUCCCCUAGUACAUGUAAAAUGGUUUUUUUGAUUUGGAGUUGUGAUUCUCACACUUUUUUGAAAACCCAUUUAUUGCACAAAGGAGGGAACCCCUAUAGUGUGGAUGGAUUUAGGCUGAGCCAGCCAUACUCCCUCACAGGUCCUAGGGUCCCCCUAUACCUCCUAACAGGAGUCCUUUGCAAGCUGCACAGCUAAGGUUGGGAGCAUCCUGGGUGGAAGCAAGUGCCAACUGACUGAACUCCACAAUCCUGGGCUGUAGCCAAAAGAACUGGGCACUAACUUUGCCUAUACACACCAUCUACUGUAGUAGCUGCUGCUACAGCCACUCUGCCCUCCUCCCAACUCACCCCACCCCACCCCACAGGGCUUCAUUCAAAGCUGUGCCUGUGGGGGUUGCCCCAUUGUUUUUUUCAGGUGUUGUUGUUAGAGUUUAUUGUUUUUCAGAUUCAAAAAAUACACAAUGGAGGAUUUAGAAAACACAAAGAAGAAUAAAUUGUUUUUUAAAAAAACAUCCAUAACUCCAUCAUGCAGAGAAAACCAUUGGUAUCCAGCCUGGCUGGCUACUCAUUGUUGAAUUUGUAGGGAUUUUAUUGACAGUCCUCUUGUCUGUCUCCAAAAAAGCUUCUUUACCAUGACACCAUUCCCCUCAAGAAUGCUGAAUGCAAAGGCUUGGAUGUGGGUAAAUCAAAGAGGAAGGAAGGAGGUGAACUCAAACUGGCUGGUGAAAUUCAAGCUCCCAAUGUCCUCAUCUGUAACCAGCUGGGCAGAUGCUGAAUCUAUGGAUGGAGAGAGGGGCUUUCUAGAUGAGAAGGUGCAACGCGGAAGCUGGGCUUCAGGCAGAGGCUGGGACUGCCACGCCGCUUCCCCCCACCCCCCACCCCCCAGCGUGAGAUUGCAGGAGGGGGUGGUUACAGCAUUGUGCAAGGUAGGAAGACCCAGAUCCUUCUCUUCCAGGGUCUAGAUGUGCUAUGAAGGGCUUGGCUCUGCAUGAUGGCCCUCAGGAAUCCAGCUCUGUGGUGAGAGGCUGCCUUACUUCCUCAAUCUAUCAGUCCUACCAGUGCUGCAGGCACCCCCCACUCCAAACAGUAAUGCCACAGUGAUGGUGGUAACAGUGCUGGGAAGGGCUGGAUAUGAUCAUUACAGAAGCAGAAUGUAUCAGUCAGCCCUUGUCACAGCAAUGCUCUAUGACAAAACUAUCCUAAAAUAAAGUGGCUGAAAACAGUGAUCAAUUAUUCUUACUUAAGCAUCUAUGGGUUGUCUGGGAAUCAGCUGACCUAAGUCAGGCUCAGAUCAGCUGGGUUUCAAACUGCUAAAAGGUAUCAUCUCCAUAUCUCUCUAACCCACCUUGGAUCAAUGGAAUAUGUAGAUUAAAUUCUUCCUGUGCCAAUGGCAAAAGCUCAGGAACAUAAACUAAAUUUCAAGGUGCAUUUCAAGCCUUGGCUCACAUCUUUGCUUCACAUCUUUUCUGAGAGGACAAGAUAAGGUAGUAGGAAAGUGGUGCUGUCUGCUUGCUACUAAAUGCUAGUUCAAGCUAUGCAACCCACCUCAUGUCUGAAAUUCAUUUAUCCUUACUACUUGUGUUUCUUUAAAAUUCUUCUGAGCAUUGCAAACCAACCCUUAAUAUGUUAUGAUAAAUAUGAAGACUUUGUCCUCUCUGUUUCAUAUAAGUGAGCAGAGGCUUCCUAAGUUCUGCUCAAUGGUAAGAAAUAUAAAUAGUUUGUUACAGCAAAUGGAUUUUAGGUAAGAUAUAGGAAAGAAUUCCUUAAACAAGACAUCCAUGACAUUAUGGAAACUCCUUUGGUGGAAGUUUUUAAAACAGCUCAAUCUGGAUUUCCCUUCAUGACUCAGAAGUUAACAAACCCAACUAGGAUCCAUGAGGACGCAGGUUUAAUACCUGGCCUCACUCAGUGUGUUAAGGAUCCGGCAUUGCCUUGGGCUGUGGUGUAGGUCAGAGAUGCAGUUCAGAUCCCAUGUUGCUGUGGCUGUGGUGUAGGCUGACAGCUGUAGCUUUGAUUUGACCCCUAGCCUGGGAAAUUCCAUAUGCCACACCUGCGGCUCUAAAAAAAAAAAAAAAAAAAAAA